Non-coding RNA from Plasmodium vivax (malaria parasite P. vivax), 82 nucleotides. NCBI's taxonomy places the organism in Eukaryota, Apicomplexa, Aconoidasida, Haemosporida, Plasmodiidae. The record is from the annotation of a RefSeq genome assembly.
UAAAUGGAGGGGAAGAUACUUCCAGUUGAGACAGUGUGUCCGAGUGGUUAAGGAGUCAGACUAGAAAUCUGAUAGGCUCUGC